Molecule: ribosomal RNA, 360 nt
Filed under: uncultured bacterium
Lineage: Bacteria
Description: partial 16S ribosomal RNA
Rfam family: Bacterial small subunit ribosomal RNA
Source: RNAcentral
CCUACGGGUGGCAGCAGUGAGGAAUAUUGGUCAAUGGUCGGGAGACUGAACCAGCCAAGCCGCGUGAGGGAGGAAGGUCCAGAGUAUCGUAAACCUCUUUUGUCAGGGAACAAAAACUGGGACGCGUCCCCGGAUGCGUGUACCUGAAGAAAAAGCAUCGGCUAACUCCGUGCCAGCAGCCGCGGUAAUACGGAGGAGGCGAGCGUUAUCCGGAUUUAUUGGGUUUAAAGGGUGCGCAGGCGGCCUGUUAAGUCAGCGGUCAAAGCUCGGGGCUCAACCCCGGCCCGCCAUUGAAACUGGGAGUCUCGAGUUGAGGAGAAGUAUGCGGAAUGCGCGGUGUAGCGGUGAAAUGCAUAGAUA